CAGAAGUGAGGCUGAGCGUCCGUAUCGGCUUCUGCGUGAAACAUCUGAGGAUAUUUUAGUCCAGUUUGCAGGAAAGAUCAUCUUGAGUACGUUUUCAUUUUC
Poecilia latipinna (sailfin molly) is the source of this 102-nucleotide long non-coding RNA. RefSeq lists it as uncharacterized. The record is from RefSeq and is a predicted model, not a curated record. The transcript has 3 exons. NCBI's taxonomy places the organism in Eukaryota, Metazoa, Chordata, Actinopteri, Cyprinodontiformes, Poeciliidae.